RNAcentral lists this long non-coding RNA (235 nucleotides) under Brassica napus (rape). RNAcentral describes it as "long non-coding RNA (BNAP_LNC004027)". Lineage: Eukaryota; Viridiplantae; Streptophyta; Magnoliopsida; Brassicales; Brassicaceae. The record is from RNAcentral.
AGGAAAGGCGACGAGAAGAGGAAAAUAGAUCAUUUAUUAUAAUAAAUACGAGAACAGCGUAACAGGAAAAAGGUAGUACUGAAUUAUAUUGAAUGAAUCCCAACCAAACAACAUUAAAUUAUCAAGCCAUUAAUUUAAUACAACAACCAAAUAAAAGAAAAAUAGAUGUAAAUAAAUAUAUAGACGUUAAAAUAAGUAAAGAAAUAGACCCCACUAAGCCUCCCUGUUCUCCCCC